RNAcentral lists this small RNA (117 nucleotides) under Macaca fascicularis (crab-eating macaque). Its description in RNAcentral is "Metazoan signal recognition particle RNA (ENSMFAG00000047675.1)". Lineage: Eukaryota; Metazoa; Chordata; Mammalia; Primates; Cercopithecidae. The record is from Rfam by way of RNAcentral.
GCUGGGCAUGGUGGCUCAUGUCUGUAAUCCCAGCACCUUGGGAGGCUGAGGUGGGUGGAUUGCUUGAGGCCAGGAGUUUGAGACCAGCCUGGCCAACAUGGUGAAACCCCAUCUCUA